Long non-coding RNA from Ooceraea biroi (clonal raider ant), 2121 nucleotides. RefSeq lists it as uncharacterized. The record is from RefSeq and is a predicted model, not a curated record. Lineage: Eukaryota; Metazoa; Arthropoda; Insecta; Hymenoptera; Formicidae.
CUCCAAAAAAAUUCGUAAAAUUAUACCUUAUUUUCAACGUUCUAAAGCAGGCUCCCCCCUUAAACGCGCGCUUGCGUGCGUAGUUCUCUUCUCUCCCGCCUCGUCUUACUCGCCGGCAUGCGAUGUCACGUGAUGUCGCGUACUCUCCCAAAGGUCCCUAAACUCCCCGUAUGCACGGGAACGUAUACACGUAAUUUCACGCGGCGGCGUCAAGUUAUGUCAGGACACGCACACGUAAACAUAAACCACCGGAGAGACCGUCAUUCGUCCCAUCAUCGUCGUCUUAAAUAAUGCGGCAUUGCGCGGAAAUCCGAUAAUGACCGAUUGAUUAACUUGCCUGCGUUCGUCUAAAUUUAGAACAGUAUUACGGCAGUACUUCGCAGACUUCGGCAAGGGAAAAACUGGCGUUCGCUUGGCGCGUUAUCACGAAGCUAAGCUCGGAUAAUUUCCGGUGGAUUUUAAUGUCGGUGUCAUGGACGAGUGAAAUUAUUUUUACCGCUGGGAAAAGGAAGAUAAAAUAGCCGAAGCGCGUGAGAAAAAUGAGAGAAAUCUAGCUUUGGUACACAUUGAAGGGAAAAAGACAACUAGCCAGAGAAAAGAAAUUUGAAACCGAUUUAAAACGGCACGACGAAGUGUCUUCGGUUUGGUUACCUCUUCUUCGCGGCACGUAUAUUAGUGAAGAGGAAGAUGCAGGAGAUGAGCGGAUGAUGAUGCUGCUACACUUAUUAAAAGAAAGUGUCUACGUGGAUCUCAAGUCGUUCCGCCUAAUUUAGAAAGUUAUCUCGAUCGAAUUGUGCCCAGAUAUACAAAAAAAUAAAUAACAUUAAUGUUAAAUAAUAAUAUUAAAUAUAGUAUUAAAUUAUAAACAGGAAUCAUACAUCAAUUGAAGUUACAUCAAUAAAGAUAUGAUUCUUACACAUUUUGUCAAACAAAAUUAUAAUUCUUUGCUUGGUUUUAUAGGAUUGUAAUUCAUUGCAUUUACUUACGGGUAGGCCCCCAUAUUAAAUUCAAAUAUAACCGGAAUGCUAUCCAUUUCUUUGUAACUUGCACUUUUAGAACUUGUAAUUUGAACUUUUCUUGUCGCCAUUCAAUUCCUUGUUCACUCGCAUAGAAUGCAGAUAAGAAUUUUACACGAAUGGAGGAAACGCUUUCUCUCAGUUUUGGGACACCCUCCUCGAGUGAUGAAUCGGAACCAAUCGGAAAUACUCGAAAAGCUUUCGGAACGGCCAUUAAAUAAAAUUUUCCUUAGGGAGGACAUUUCGGAACGUAACCCAGAUUCGACAUUUUACUUAUUUCUGAAGUCCCGUAAACUUUCUAAUCGUUCCUGAUCGUUGUUGUCUUAUAUUGUUUGACACAAUUGAUAGGAAGAAAAAAGGAGAGGAGAUUGAUUAGAGCCUGAAUCCGAACAUAUAUCGGUAGAGAUCUAUUAAAAUUAUCUCAACAAGAUUGGCAAGUACACACGCCAACAUUUCGGCCUAUUUCGGAGUCUCAUCGCGACACAAAUGAAAAUGAAACAUCAGUGUAUGUAGGCUAAAGGUAACAAUCAAAUAUUGGUCACGAAUUAUUUGUUUCUCUUCUUAAGAAUUAUUAGCUGAAAGUUUGAUUUUUCAAUAAUACGUUUUUCGCAUUUUCUAAAAUUGUAUCGCGCACUCAUAAAUUUAUAGCCAAGUUCAAGCACAUAUAAUUAUAUCAUAUAUUUUUAGUAUUAUGUACUCUUGUGUGUAUGUGUGUAUACGUAUGUGUACGUGUUGUGCGUGCGUGCGUGCGUGCAUACGCAACUCGCACUACGUAAAGAUAAAAUCAUAGAUAUAUUGUGUAUUGUAAAUAUAUAUUUUAUACAUAGCAAAUAUUUUACAAAAAUUAAUUUUUUAAUUUUUAUAAGACUUUUUAUAAGAAGUGAUUUGGAAAAAUAAUUAUCUAUUGAAAAUAGAUACACCUUGAAUGCAUAAUUACAUGGAGAAAAAUAUCACGUUAUAUUUUAAUCAAUAUAAUUCAUAUUUCAUAUAUACUUCAUACAUAAUUAGGCAAUAAUUGAAGUUCAAGUUCUAAUUAAAUUUUCAAUUAAUUAAAUCUAAUUUGGACUUAAUCUUUGUUGAAAGCAAUUUAAUGUGCCCCAAGUAA